Molecule: long non-coding RNA, 2055 nt
Organism: Betta splendens (Siamese fighting fish)
Lineage: Eukaryota; Metazoa; Chordata; Actinopteri; Anabantiformes; Osphronemidae
Source: Ensembl
GGAACUUCACUGUGUUUGAAGCUUUCUUGUGGAAGUCCCUGGUGGACAGUAAUUCUUUGCACAACGGAACCAUUUCCUUGGAGGUGGUCCACAGCUCUCGCUCCAGAGAGGACUGUGGCAUCUUUGACCCUGUCAGCAGGAAGCUGGAUCUGGACAAAUGUGACUCUCUGAGAGGGUCUGUCUGCCAGUUGAAAGGUAGCAACAAAAGAUACAACUAUGGCUGGCAUGCUUGUCUAAAUAUGAAAAUAUUUAGUUUUUCAUUAUAUACACUGUUAAGUCCAAUCUGUUGGAUCUACAGUAUUAGAACAUAUUGCGUUAUAUUUAUGUAUUUCUGCAGGUCUACCACAUGGACUCAAUUUACCAAAGACAACGUUCUUCACUAGACUCAGCGAGGAUCCCCAGGCUAAACUGGUGAGUUGGACAGUAUAGUUGUUUGCAGCAUAUCAGUGUUUUAAUGAUACAGUGACAGUGUUUCCAUUCUGCUGCAGAGGCCCAUUUAAAAGAUAAAAGAACUGAAUGCCUUUGGGGGAACAGAUAGUGUUUUAUUGCCAUGAAGUUUAGAAAGAAAAUAUGCCUUUAAAAAAAAUUAAUUUUUAUAUGUCUGACAUAUCUAAUAUGAGCCCCGUCUCUCCUUGUCUCAGGUCGUGGAGCAGAUGAACGUUAAUAAAUUCUGGGAAGUCCUGACUAUGCUUCACCCCGAGAUUCUUUUGCGUAUCUCUCCCAGUGAUGUGCUGUACCUCUCCCAGAAGAUUGAAAUGGACCUGAGUCCACUGGGUGGCACUCACUUUGUAAAAGGCGAUGCAACAGAGGUCAUGUUGUCUAUUGCCACCAACUACGUGAAAAUGUCAAGUUUGUUGCUGGAACCCCACGUGGCUGCACAUUGGAUGGGCAGCACUGAAGAUGGGGUCAGUGUGGGGCCAUUUACUGUCAUUAGGAGCAUCGAUCGUCUCUCUGAAGCUCUUGCAGAUGUGCUUUUUGCUGAGCAAAGAGGAUUCACUCUUUCUACCAAGAACAUAGGUAAUGACAAUGUCCUGAUACAUCACCCAUACUUAUAAAUACAUACAUACAUUACUGUAUUAAUGGAUGAAACAAAAAGAAAUAAUAUGUCAUCCACUAGUAGCAAUUGGCUUUGUAAAACAGAUGAAUAACUCUUCUUGCCUUUUUUUUGUUUUAUUUAUUUCUUAACUUCCAGAUGUGUUCCUAAAAUGGCAGAAUCUAUCUGAAGAGAUCUGUAGUCAGGUAUUCAAGACAUCUGACUCUGGUAGUGGUCAGGAUGAGCUACUGAUCCCAGACACUGAGCUUCAGAGAAUAACUACGCUAGGUAAGAAAUUGGUAAAAAGCAUUUAAACAAAGAUCAAAGGUAGUUAGAUAGUUAGGUAGUAGAUUCACUACCUAUAACGUCAGUAAAACGUUACUAACUACUACAGGUUGUUACAUAUUUGAAAUCUGCUGAAUGUUAUGGCUUCUUAAGUAAACUAAGGAUUUCAUAUCAGUGAGCAAUCAAAAGAAAUGUAUCUCUCUUGCUUAUUUCUGUCCUCAGGAUAUGACGAAGUGAUGUUUGUUCAUACCCAUUACAGCCAUUUGAAUGAGCUCCUGUCUGUAUCACGAGAGCCACAGACUCAACAGGACAUAACAAAAAGGUUGGAUGUAGGCUUGUAUUCAAACUUGGAUGCAGCAAACAUUUUAAUAGUCUUUAGUUUUAAGAGCCAAACUCUUUAAAUAUUGUCAAAAAAAACUGAACCGUGCACUUUUUAAAAUGGGGAUUUUGAUCGUUUGAAAAGUUAAUUGCCGUAGGAAAGAUUUUAAUGUUACUCUUAUUUGUAGUGUUUACCACCAUGUGCAUCUGUUAGGGAUAAUUCUUGUUCUUCCUAGAACCCCUCCACGUCACCUUGCUUCUGGUGUCAUAUCAGCUGCCGUCCGCGUUGCCUCCAAGGCCCAAAGUGUCCCUGUGGCUGUACAGUACACCCUUUCCUCAUCAAACUUGGUACAGCCCAUUGUUUCAAACCAUUUCUUUGCUCUGUUGCUCAAGACUAGUAGCCAUGUUUUUCUUAAGUC